GGGCUAGUAGCUCAGUUGGUUAGAGCGCACGCUUGAUAAGCGUGAGGUCGAAGGUUCAAGUCCUUCCUGGCCCACCA
Molecule: transfer RNA, 77 nt
Filed under: Janthinobacterium lividum
Lineage: Bacteria; Pseudomonadati; Pseudomonadota; Betaproteobacteria; Burkholderiales; Oxalobacteraceae
Also listed under: 2 other names
Description: tRNA-Ile
Rfam family: tRNA
About the family: Transfer RNA (tRNA) molecules are approximately 80 nucleotides in length. Their secondary structure includes four short double-helical elements and three loops (D, anti-codon, and T loops).
Source: RNAcentral